UGAGCAAUCUGCCCUUCUCAUCGGAAUAAGCGUUGGAAACGACGUCUAAUGCCGAAUACGACCUCCUUUCGCAUGAUCGGAGGUGGAAAGCUCCGGCGGAGAAGGAUGAGCUCGCGGCCUAUCAGCUAGUUGGUGUGGGUAAUGGCCCACAAGGCGACGACGGGUAGCCGGCCUGGAGAGGGUCGACCCGGCCACACGUGGGACUGAGACACCGGCCCAGACCUCCGUACGGGAGCAG
Molecule: ribosomal RNA, 238 nt
Filed under: uncultured bacterium
Lineage: Bacteria
Description: partial 16S ribosomal RNA
Rfam family: Bacterial small subunit ribosomal RNA
Source: RNAcentral